UACGUAGGGGGCAAGCGUUGUCCGGAAUCAUUGGGCGUAAAGAGCGUGUAGGCGGCCCGGUCAGUCCGCCGUGAAAGUCCAGGGCUCAACCCUGGAAUGCCGGUGGAUACUGCCGGGCUGGAGUCCGGAAGAGGCGAGUGGAAUUCCUGGUGUAGCGGUGAAAUGCGCAGAUAUCAGGAGGAACACCGACGGCGAAGGCAGCUCGCUGGGACGGUACUGACGCUGAGACGCGAAAGCGUGGGGAGCAAACAGG
Molecule: ribosomal RNA, 253 nt
Filed under: uncultured bacterium
Lineage: Bacteria
Description: partial 16S ribosomal RNA
Rfam family: Bacterial small subunit ribosomal RNA
Source: RNAcentral